Molecule: ribosomal RNA, 497 nt
Filed under: uncultured bacterium
Lineage: Bacteria
Description: partial 16S ribosomal RNA
Rfam family: Bacterial small subunit ribosomal RNA
Source: RNAcentral
GAUGAACGCUGGCGGCGUGCCUAAUACAUGCAAGUCGAGCGAACAGACGAGGAGCUUGCUCCUCUGACGUUAGCGGCGGACGGGUGAGUAACACGUGGAUAACCUACCUAUAAGACUGGGAUAACUUCGGGAAACCGGAGCUAAUACCGGAUAAUAUAUUGAACCGCAUGGUUCAAUAGUGAAAGACGGUUUUGCUGUCACUUAUAGAUGGAUCCGCGCCGCAUUAGCUAGUUGGUAAGGUAACGGCUUACCAAGGCGACGAUGCGUAGCCGACCUGAGAGGGGGGUAGGCCACACUGGAACUGGGACACGGUCCAUGCUCCUAAGGGAGGCAGCAGUAGGGAAUCUUACGCAAUGGGCGAGAGUAUGACGGAGCAACGGCGCGUGAGUGAUGAAGGUCUUGGGAUCGUAAAAAUCUGUUAUUAGGGAAGAACAAAUGUGUAAGUAACUAUGCACUGCUUGACGGUAACUAAUCAGAAAGCAACGGCUAACUACGUG